GAUCCAUAGCCUGCUCGAAGGGAGUUGGCCACAGCGGGGAUGAAAUCAACCCAUCGGAAAUUUUUUCCGCAGCAGCUAAGAAUAUUUCACAAUGAUCUUAAUGAUUGAUGGAGCUAACUAAAUUUCAUUAGUGUCUAGGCGCUAAGAAAAAUGUAUUAAUCAGAUAAUGACACAUUAAUACUAAGAGUACUGACAAAUCGCCGUGCCAGCUGUUGCGGUAAAACGGCUAGUACAAACGUUAAUCCUCAUUAAUAGGCAUAAAGGGUUCGUAGGCAGCUUUUUUAUUUUAUUAGAAAGAUUGAAUCUGAUAUAGGAUAGAUACAACACUAGAAUGAGGGCCGAUAUCCUUAGACUCCUAGGUGAGUGUUAAAUGCGAAGGCAAUUAUCUAGCUAAGAUUGACGCUGAGGAACUAAGGUUUGGAAAGGAAACAGGAUUAGAGACCCAGGUACUCCUUACAUUCAACGAUGAAUGCUAGAUAUUAGUUCUUAACUAGUGUCGAUGUGAAAAAGACGUUAAGCAUUCCGCCUUGACAGUAUACUUGCAAAAGUGAAAUCAAAAAAAUUAGUCGGUUUCGAAGCAAACGAAGUGAAGCAUGUUGUUCAAUACGAUAAUCCG
This 616-nucleotide ribosomal RNA is filed under the name Dendrodacrys concrescens. RNAcentral's name for it is "Dacrymycetaceae sp. JCZ-2022c partial small subunit ribosomal RNA". It matches the Rfam family "Bacterial small subunit ribosomal RNA", at positions 278 to 961 of the family's 1533-position model. The record is from RNAcentral. Lineage: Eukaryota; Fungi; Basidiomycota; Dacrymycetes; Dacrymycetales; Dacrymycetaceae.